AGGCCCCGCACCCGUCCGCUUUCUCCUCCAGCGAAUCGAGCGGGCAGCGAGCGACAGCAAAAGGAACGCUCCCCACGCGCAUGAACCCUAGCCGCCGCUCUCCUCUCCCAUGACCCGCAACCACCACCGCUCCUCUCUCCUCUGCCUCGACUCCCAACCAUCCAACCCAAACUCCGGCGGCCUCCUAUCCCUCCAGCGCCGCCGCUCCAGCCACACCUUCCUUCCUCUCCAAAGGAAGGGAAGGGAAGUGAAGGGGAGGGGAGGCCCCAGAUCGAGCGGAGCGACGCCCAGAUCCGCAGCGGCACCGGCACCAGCGCGCCGUCGUCCACCUGGUCCUCGAGGAAGGCCAUGGAUGGGGGCAGAACCCUAGCCCCACACCCAUCCAUCACGGCGGUGGCCUUCUCUCGGUGGGGUGGGGAGCGAAGUUUUCUGAUGUGGUGGCCCUCGACGCCUGCGACGGGCUGCAGCACCUUGGCUUCAAAGGUAGGCCAUCACAAUGGAAACAGAAGGAUGAGCACCAUGGCGGGCGUGCAGGUGCAGGCCAUCGCCAUCGCCAAGUCCCCUAGAUUGACAAGCGGACGGCCGGAUCCAAGACCAAGCACCCCGGUGGGCUUCCUGCUCAGGCUCCUCAACGCCACGACGGCUGCGGGAUCCACGACCAUGGCUGCACGAGCGCCCAGAUGCAGGGCGGUUCCGAACCCAAAGCGCAGUUUGCAGGCAGUACGAGGGCAGUUCAUGAAUAUACUUGUGCGCUUUUACUCUCAGGCAAAUCACUAAUCAUUCAAAAGGCUUAUUAGUGUUGAUUUUGGAAAGUUAUUGGGAUACACAAGAACUAGCAAUACCACAUAAAAAAGAGUGUGGAAUUGGACAUUUUUAAAUCUGGAUAGUUGUUGUAGUGCCUGAUUAUGCCAACAAGAAGAAAAAAAUAGCAGAAUAAUUGUUUGUAGGGAUACUUAGAUCUUUCUGCUAUCAUGGUUAUCAAAAUAGGAUUUUUUUUAACGUACACUAUAUAGUACAAAAGGUUGUUUAUCAUAUACUGCAAAUCAUUAGUUUUACGCCAGUCUAUUACAUCAGUCUUAUCUUGAUUGAUAGGAAUUCAACAUAUUGAACCUUCAAGAUGGCUUGAAAUGGGCCUGGACAAUGUUUUGUUGACCAGCAAGGUUAUGUUUCCUCUGAUUGGCUUGCUUGAUUAGGUCUUUGUACAUAUUCCAUGAACUCCUGCGUUUGUGCCGUCAGGUUGGCUGUCUAUAAUUUUUGGGGUUCGCCUGACAUACGGUCGUCAUCGCCUUGCCGUGGCUCCACCAAGCGAUCUUUCCUCGCCAAUGCAGUCAGCUGGGCGAUACUGAUGGAUUGAUUUGAAUUUGGAUGAUUCUAUUGAGUCGGUGUGCAACAAUGCAAAUCAGAUUCAUCAUCUACAAGAGUCGGUGUGCAACAAUGCAAAUCAGAUUCAUCAUCUACAAGAGUCGGUGUCCAACCAUGUCCUCCUAUAGAGCUCAUGUUCCUAUGCUUGCGUAGAAGAUUAUGAUAUGGAAGUACUCUUGACUUUCCAUGAUUUUGGUACUGGAUUAUUGGUCACACAUAUGAGAGUUGUGAACCGGGGACGAUCAUGUAUUUCAUAAGCGAGCAAGGGUUCUGGGUACCUGCAUGAUUAAGGAAGAAAUUGGUUAUUACUAAAUGUACUAUUGCAUAUCAAAGGAGAACCAGGAGGGAGUGCAAUAUCCUUAUUAGUUGUACUCAGGGAUGCAAAAUCUUCACCUGAUGAUUCCACCCCUUUUUACAUGACACUAGCUGCUGCACAGUCAAAAGUGUCUCGCAGAUGCUCUUUAUGACACCAACUGACAGAUUAAUGAGUGCACUCAUAGAGAACAUAACAAGGUACAUAUUGAAGGAUGUUCUGAGGCUAGCACCUGGUUUAGAAGUUUUGCAAUUCACAGCAAUACCUCAUAAUUUUGAUUUGAUGUCCAGAAUGUCAAUUGAAGAAUGAGCCUACAAACUACAUUGUAGUUUGUAAUAUAUCCUUAUAUAUGGUGCUUGUGUUUUUUUUUCAAUUAUAAGUUUACAUUUAUGGGUAUUACAAAGUCCCCCUUUCUUUUUCCACAAGGGGCAGUAGCUGUGCCAUUCGAUUCGAAGGACAAAGAGUUGAUCACAACGGGGUAGCAUUCAGGAUAUAUACACAAGAGUAUAGAACCAAAUUAUAUGAUGUAAUUGACCACUAUUUCUAUUAACUUUUCUUGUACACAAUGUUACAAGUUCAUGUAUUAGAUACAUUUUAUUGUUUACUCUC
Molecule: long non-coding RNA, 2284 nt
Organism: Triticum dicoccoides
Lineage: Eukaryota; Viridiplantae; Streptophyta; Magnoliopsida; Poales; Poaceae
Exons: 7
Source: RefSeq, a predicted model, not a curated record